CCGAACCGCCCGCCCCGCGACCCAUCCCAAUGGCGGCGCUCCCGCUCGCGCGGAGCCCCCACCCUGCCGCGGCGCUCCCGGCCCCGCGAGUUUCCCAAUUUGCCCCUCCUCUGCGCCCGCUCCGCUCCCCUCGCCGCCAGCACCGCUUCCGCCUCCGCUUCCCGGGAGCCGCUGCCGCCGCCGUCGCGGCCUCCUCGCCCCCGGAGGCGCAGGCGGCCCCCGCGGCGGAGCAGGAGAAGCGGCGGAAGCUGUACGUGGCCAACCUGCCCUGGUCCCUGCCCGCGCCGGAGCUCGAGGAGCUCUUCGCGCAGUGCGGCACCGUCAAGGACGUCGAGCUGAUCAAGGGGAAGGAUGGGAGGAACAGGGGGUUCGCGUUCGUGACGAUGUCGACGGCGGAGGAGGCGGCCGCGGCCGUGGAGAAGCUGAACUCACAUAAUGUAAUGGGGCGUUCAAUCAAGGUGGAGUUUUCAAAGAGCUUCAGAAAACCCGCUCCACCUCCUCCUCCAGGCACCGUUAUGGAGAGGCACAAGCUUUACGUCUCCAAUCUUCCAUGGAAAGCGAGAGCUCCCGAUGUCAAGGAAUUCUUCUCAAAUUUUAACCCGCUUUCUGCUAACAUUAUCUUCGAUAAUGGAAAAGCAGCUGGCUACGGUUUUGUUUCCUUUGGGACAAAAGAAGAAGCAGAGGCUGCUCUCAGUGAGCUUGAUGGAAAGGAACUUAUGGGAAGACCUGUUAUUUUGAAAUGGAAGGAAAGUGGCGAUGGUAAGGAUGAGGUUGUAAAAGCUGACGGUGAAGUUGAAACUGUAAAUACUGAUGGAGCAAGUGCGGAUGAUGCCAGCAAUGAUGGAGGUGAAGAUAAACAGGAAUAGUAAAAAAAAUACUAUACUGUCCUAGAGGAAGAAAGUUUCUUCUGCCUUAUUGAUAUAAGCACAGAUAUGGAGCCUUGUUGUACAGCAAGAAGUUUUUCCCCAUACUUCCUGACUGGGGCAUCAUUCAGGCUGCUAGGGAAAUCUUGACGAUGGACGAAACAGAGUACUAAAGGAGGGAGCUUUAGAGAUUCAGUACCUUCAUACUUGCUCAACUCUUCCCAGUUAGAGUCAUUUUCACCACCUGUAACAGAAUCCAAUAAAACAACAUAAAUACAAUGCUUAUGCUUGGCAUCAUCACAAAAACUAGUUAGACUAACUAUUUACUAGAAGACACAAGAGAACAUUUAAUUAAAAGUCCUAGAUUAUGCGGUGACCAUACUUCCUAUGUAACCACACAGAACUGAGCGAAAUUCUCCUGUACAAACCUCCUGUAAUCAUGUAACAGUGCUAUAAAUCAAUAAAGAACCAGGUGGGGAAGUCACCCCCCUCGGUUUGAAGUGUUCAAAAAAAA
Molecule: RNA transcript, 1377 nt
Organism: Panicum virgatum (switchgrass)
Lineage: Eukaryota; Viridiplantae; Streptophyta; Magnoliopsida; Poales; Poaceae
Gene name: 28 kDa ribonucleoprotein, chloroplastic-like
Exons: 5
Source: RefSeq, a predicted model, not a curated record